This is a long non-coding RNA of Amaranthus tricolor (Joseph's coat), 446 nucleotides long. RefSeq lists it as uncharacterized. The record is from RefSeq and is a predicted model, not a curated record. NCBI's taxonomy places the organism in Eukaryota, Viridiplantae, Streptophyta, Magnoliopsida, Caryophyllales, Amaranthaceae. The transcript has 4 exons.
CUUCUUCAUCAUCUACUGCUUAAAACUGCACGACUGUACGUACAUUGUUGUUGCUCUUUUUAAACUCACAAAAAACCCACGAAAUUUGGGCUUACUUCUUGCUCUUCUUCAAGGUUAUACACAACCCAAAACCCACGAAAAUUCAAGUGCUUUCGACAAGCUGAUAAUACCGUUGAUUGCGGCUACUACGCUCUCAAAUACAUGGACGAUAUCUUACAAUCCGUGAAGGAGGUUGAAGUCGAAAACAUUGACGCCGUUUUAUACGACACUCCAAGGGAAACACGCCCUUUGAGAGAUGGAGAAAUGCGCCAAUUGAAAGACAAGAUUGCCGCGUAUCUUGCUAAGUUUUGUUCUUGGUAAAUAAUGUAAUUAGUUUAGAUUUAGGACUUUAAUUUGUAUAUGUACAUAUUAUUAUAUAUUCGACGAGAGUUUACAAAGAGAUUAUU